GCACAAGCAGCGGAGCGUGUGGUUUAAUUCGUUGCUACACGAAGAACCUUACCUGGGUUUGACAUAUAGGUUGUAGGGAACUGAAAAGGGACCGACCCUUCGGGGAGCCUAUACAGGUGUUGCAUGGCUGUCGUCAGCUCGUGUCGUGAGAUGUUCGGUUAAGUCCGCUAACGAGCGCAACCCUCGUCGUAUGUUAUAUGUGUCAUACGAGACUGCCGGUAAAAAGCCGGAGGAAGGUGAGGAUGAUGUCAAGUCAGCAUGACCUUUAUAUCCAGGGCUACACACACGCUACAAUGGUCUGUACAAUGGGUAGCCAAGCCGCGAGGCGGAGCCAAUCCUGAAAGCAGGCCUCAGUUCAGAUUGCAGUCUGCAACUCGACUGCAUGAAGCCGGAGUUGCUAGUAACCGCAGGUCAGCCAUACUGCGUUGAAUACGUUCCCGGGGCUU
This 446-nucleotide ribosomal RNA is filed under the name uncultured Anaerolineaceae bacterium. Its description in RNAcentral is "bacterial SSU rRNA". It matches the Rfam family "Bacterial small subunit ribosomal RNA", at positions 923 to 1382 of the family's 1533-position model. The record is from RNAcentral. Lineage: Bacteria; Bacillati; Chloroflexota; Anaerolineae; Anaerolineales; Anaerolineaceae.